This 594-nucleotide ribosomal RNA is filed under the name Strobilops labyrinthicus. RNAcentral describes it as "partial 28S ribosomal RNA". It matches the Rfam family "Eukaryotic large subunit ribosomal RNA", at positions 368 to 793 of the family's 3401-position model. The record is from RNAcentral. Lineage: Eukaryota; Metazoa; Mollusca; Gastropoda; Stylommatophora; Strobilopsidae.
AAAGAACUUUGAAGAGAGAGUUCAAGAGUACGUGAAACCGCCCAGAGGUAAACGGGUGGAUCCGCAAAGUCGGUCCGCGGAAUUCAGCGCGGCGCGCGGCCCGGGGUCGCCGCGGUUCGGGAUCCUUGUGAACCGACCGCGGUGCCGAGCCGGGCUCCGCCGCGUGCACUUUCCGCGGACGGAGAGCCACAACCGGUUUGGUGCGCUGCGGCGACAGGCCGGGAGGGUUGUAGGUGGGGGCGCCCGCGUCCCUACCAGCCCUCCCCGGUUAGCCGCCACCGGACCGAGGGACCGCCGCGCGCUUCGAGGCCACCCUCCCCUCCGGGCGAGUACGACUGGGAGAGACUGGGCAACCGUGUCUCCCGACCGCUCGCCCGCGAUCGGCGCCGGGGCUGGCCGGGCGCGAGAGUGAGCAGGGUUAGUGGCAAGUCUGUCGGCAUUCCACCCGACCCGUCUUGAAACACGGACCAAGGAGUCUAACAUGCGCGCGAGUCAUUGGGCGGUACGAAACCCAAAGGCGCAGUGAAAGCGAGGGUCGCCUCCGAGCGGCCCAGGUGGGAUCCUCUCCUCUCCGAGCAAUCUGUGAGGGGUGGC